CCCAUCAGAAGAUGAUAUUGAUAAGAGAGCUGAAAUGUUCAUAGAAAAAUUUCGCCGGCAACUUCAGAUUGAGAGGCAGAUUUCUUUGGAGCUCAAGUAUUUGCAGGGAAAUAGUAGCUUCAAAUUGAGAUCUCCAUGAAGAGACUGAUUGAAGUUUCUGGUGAUGGAGCCUAUGUUUUAUGAGAGGAUUUUCUAUUGCCGAUUUGUAAUUACAAUUAAUGGUUCUGCCUUUUUCUGCUGGGACUUGGAUUCACUGCUAAGAAAUGAAGCAUGGAAGAAAGAUGGAAUUACAGGGUUUUAUGCUUUUGCCA
RNAcentral lists this unclassified non-coding RNA (311 nucleotides) under Hevea brasiliensis (rubber tree). The record is from RNAcentral. Lineage: Eukaryota; Viridiplantae; Streptophyta; Magnoliopsida; Malpighiales; Euphorbiaceae.